UUCUUCGGGGGGGGAGCAGUGGGGAAUAUUGCACAAUGGGCGGAAGCCUGAUGCAGCGACGCCGCGUGAGGGAUGACGGCCUUCGGGUUGUAAACCUCUUUCAGUAGGGAAGAAGCGAAAGUGACGGUACCUGCAGAAGAAGCGCCGGCUAACUACGUGCCAGCAGCCGCGGUAAUACGUAGGGCGCAAGCGUUGUCCGGAAUUAUUGGGCGUAAAGAGCUCGUAGGCGGUUUGUCGCGUCUGCUGUGAAAGCCCGGGGCUCAACCCCGGGUCUGCAGUGGGUACGGGCAGACUAGAGUGCAGUAGGGGAGACUGGAAUUCCUGGUGUAGCGGUGAAAUGUGCAGAUAUCAGGAGGAACACCGAUGGCGAAGGCAGGUCUCUGGGCUGGUACCGACGUGAGGGGCAAAAGAGGU
Molecule: ribosomal RNA, 414 nt
Filed under: Kocuria himachalensis
Lineage: Bacteria; Bacillati; Actinomycetota; Actinomycetes; Micrococcales; Micrococcaceae
Description: bacterial SSU rRNA
Rfam family: Bacterial small subunit ribosomal RNA
Source: RNAcentral